Pipra filicauda (Wire-tailed manakin) is the source of this 613-nucleotide long non-coding RNA. RefSeq lists it as uncharacterized. The transcript is spliced from 5 exons. The record is from RefSeq and is a predicted model, not a curated record. Lineage: Eukaryota; Metazoa; Chordata; Aves; Passeriformes; Pipridae.
CGGGGCGUUUUUUCUCCUUCCUUCCUCCUCCUCCUCCUCGGUCCCCUCACGCCGCGGCGGGCAGCGCGCGCCGCGCUGGGCGGACGGAAAGGGCGGAAAGGCCUGAGGGGGCAGCGGGCUCGGCUCCCCUCAGGGCCGGCCUCGGCGGUGGAUGGCCUCGGAUCCGCGAUGAGUUCCGCUGUUCUUCCCGGGAAAACGGAGGUGAAAAGAUGAGGAAGCUGAACAGUCAUUGAAAUAAGUCUCUGCUGUUCUGUAUAUGGAGAACUGAUUCUGCCAGUUUUGGCUCAAGCAGGUGUCUUCCCAGACCACUGCAUAUCCUGCUUGUGUUCUGUGCUGCUGGUAACUGUUUUUUCCAGUUGUGCAAAAGGGAGAUGUUCCUGCCCUAAUGAUUUUCCAGAGGUGUUUGUGUGUGACUGGAUUCAUUCACAAGAAGAAUUCACUGAAGCUUUCCUUGUUCAAGUAGUUCUUGUGUAAUAAUUCCAUCGAAGGACAUCGACUAUCUGGAUUCUAAACCUGAGAAGCACCAACAUAUUUUGAGUAUCCAUGUAGCUGGUGGAAUGCAGGAGAGGUCUGUUCUUGUGAAGUAGGGCCAUUCUAUAAGUUCUUGCUAAGG